UACGUAGGUGGCAAGCGUUAUCCGGAAUUAUUGGGCGUAAAGCGCGCGUAGGCGGUUUUUUAAGUCUGAUGUGAAAGCCCCCGGCUCAACCGGGGAAGGUCAUUGGAAACUGGGGAACUUGAGUGCAGAAGAGGAGAGUGGAAUUCUCAGUGUAGCGGUGAAAUGCGUAGAUAUUGAGAAGAACACCAGUAGCGAAGGCGGCUUUCUGGACUGUAACUGACACUGAGGCACGAAAGCGUGGGUAGCAAACAGG
RNAcentral lists this ribosomal RNA (253 nucleotides) under uncultured bacterium. RNAcentral's name for it is "partial 16S ribosomal RNA". It matches the Rfam family "Bacterial small subunit ribosomal RNA", at positions 524 to 776 of the family's 1533-position model. The record is from RNAcentral.